AAGCUUGCUUCUCUUGAGAGCGGCGGACGGGUGAGUAAUGCCUAGGAAUCUGCCUGGUAGUGGGGGAUAACGUUCGGAAACGGACGCUAAUACCGCAUACGUCCUACGGGAGAAAGCAGGGGACCUUCGGGCCUUGCGCUAUCAGAUGAGCCUAGGUCGGAUUAGCUAGUUGGUGGGGUAAUGGCUCACCAAGGCGACGAUCCGUAACUGGUCUGAGAGGAUGAUCAGUCACACUGGAACUGAGACACGGUCCAGACUCCUACGGGAGGCAGCAGUGGGGAAUAUUGGACAAUGGGCGAAAGCCUGAUCCAGCCAUGCCGCGUGUGUGAAGAAGGUCUUCGGAUUGUAAAGCACUUUAAGUUGGGAGGAAGGGCAGUAAAUUAAUACUUUGCUGUUUUGACGUUA
Molecule: ribosomal RNA, 405 nt
Filed under: gamma proteobacterium BAL202
Lineage: Bacteria; Pseudomonadati; Pseudomonadota; Gammaproteobacteria
Description: bacterial SSU rRNA
Rfam family: Bacterial small subunit ribosomal RNA
Source: RNAcentral